AUCCAGCUGAAGAGUCCUAAAAAAGACGAAACGCGCAUCCUGGAC
Non-coding RNA from Schistosoma mansoni, 45 nucleotides. The record is from Rfam. NCBI's taxonomy places the organism in Eukaryota, Metazoa, Platyhelminthes, Trematoda, Strigeidida, Schistosomatidae.